UUUAUUUCAAUUCGGACAGAUUCUAGAACUUUUUUUUUUUUUUUUUUUUUGAGACACAGAGAGACAGAGCAUGAGCAGGGGAGGGGCAGAGAGAGAGGGAGACACAGAACCGGAAGCAGCCUCCAGGCCCCGAGCCAUCAGCCCAGAGCCCGACGCGGGGCCCAAACUUAUGGGCCGCAAGAUCGUGACCUGAGCCGAAGUCGGACUCUUAACCGACUGAGCCACCCAGGCGCCCCAGAUUCUAGAACUUUGUGUUGGCGAAGACUUCAUUUCAGCGUCAAAAGUGGAGCAGCUCUCGGUUUCCCGAAGGCUUUUCUGGAAUUGAAGAGACGGCCGGGACCUUGCACCAUGUGUGGCAACGAUCCGUCCCUUUUCCGUGAGCUCCGUCGUGAGUAUAUCUGUGUCCUUCAUCCGUGUGUCCAACAAGUCUCCUUGGGGGAAGAUGCCACCCACAUCACGUCAUUUCCGUGUCCUGGGCAAAGGUGGGUGCAGUUAGGGUCCUGCCGGCAAAGACGGUGUGUAACGCCAAGGCUGCUGAGUUCCCUCGUGAAGCCUGGUAAAGGUGUAUUGUGUCCUUUCAGGGGGAAAGGCCGCCGUGCUCACAGGCUGUUGAAAUAGACACUGAACAGGUGCAUGGGCGGCUCAGCCGGUUAAGCGUCCGACUCUUGGUUUCGGCUCAGGCCAUGAUCUCGCCUCACGGUUCGUGGGUUCGAGCCCCGCCUCGGGGUUUGCGCUGGCAGCACGGGAGCCUGCUUGGGAUUCUCUCUCCGUCCCUGUCUCUCUGCCCCUCCCCCACUUGCACUGUCUCUGUCUCUCUCGAAACAGAUAAACGUAAAAGAAGGAAACAGACACCGAACAGAGCAUAUUUGCCAAAUCUCAAUCUCUAACAGCAAAACGGUUGCCAGUGGCUGAUUGACUAGAAUCGGUAAUUAUAAUAAUAUUGGGCGUAGGGGCCUGAAGUUGGUGGUGGGCUCACCGCGAGGCACCAUUCAUUCUUUCCGGGUUUAAGACCAGGCCAAAACGGGAUAUUAAAGGAGCAGUAGUUGGCAUCAUCACCCUUGCGCUCACUAGGU
Molecule: long non-coding RNA, 1073 nt
Filed under: Felis catus (domestic cat)
Lineage: Eukaryota; Metazoa; Chordata; Mammalia; Carnivora; Felidae
Description: lncRNA (ENSFCAG00000048843.1)
Source: RNAcentral